Molecule: non-coding RNA, 284 nt
Filed under: Clostridium sp.
Lineage: Bacteria; Bacillati; Bacillota; Clostridia; Eubacteriales; Clostridiaceae
Description: T-box sequence
Rfam family: T-box leader
About the family: Uncharged tRNA acts as the effector for transcription antitermination of genes in the T-box leader family.
Source: RNAcentral
GGAAUGGCUGUGACGAGGAGGAGUACAUAUAUCAGAGACUCUGUAGAGAGAGAACGGAUGGUGAAAGUUCUUGUGUCUUGUAUAUGGAAGUAGCCUUUGAGCUUUGGACUGAAAGCGGAAUUUAUUUUGUGUGCAAGUAGGCUUCAACGGAUUUUUCCAACGUUAUAUGGAAAACGAUAUAAAAGAUAUGUGUUUUAUAGAUUUAUAAAACUAUAGUCUGAGUAUCGGCAGAGUGCAGAUUUCAUCUGAAAUUAGGUGGUACCACGAAAAUAUUCGCCCUAAAU